GACGAAGGGGGCUAGCGUUGUUCGGAAUUACUGGGCGUAAAGCGCGUGUAGGCGGUUGUCCAAGUUGGAUGUGAAAGCCUUGAGCUUAACUCAAGAAAUGCAUUCAGGACUGGAUGACUAGAGGACCGGAGAGGAUAGUGGAAUUCCCAGUGUAGUGGUGAAAUACGUAGAGAUUGGGAAGAACACCAGUGGCGAAGGCGACCACCUGGACUGAUACUGACACUGAGGUGCGAAAGCGUGGGGAGCAAACAGG
Molecule: ribosomal RNA, 253 nt
Filed under: uncultured bacterium
Lineage: Bacteria
Description: partial 16S ribosomal RNA
Rfam family: Bacterial small subunit ribosomal RNA
Source: RNAcentral